GUAAUCACAGGUCAGCAUACUGUGGUGAAUACGUUCCCGGGCCUUGUACACACCGCCCGUCACACCAUGAGAGUUGAGAAUACCCGAAGUCCAUGUCAAAGGUGGCCGAAGGUAGGCUUGAUGAUUGGGGUGAAGUCGUAACAAGGUAUC
This 150-nucleotide ribosomal RNA is filed under the name uncultured bacterium. Its description in RNAcentral is "partial 16S ribosomal RNA". It matches the Rfam family "Bacterial small subunit ribosomal RNA", at positions 1338 to 1500 of the family's 1533-position model. The record is from RNAcentral.